UACGAGAGGCCCAAACGUUAUUCGGAUUUACUGGGCUUAAAGAGUUCGUAGGCGGCGCAGAAAGUAGGGUGUGAAAGCCCUCGGCUCAACCGAGGAAUAGCGCUCUAAACUACUGUGCUUGAGGAACCUAGAGGUGAGCAGAACUGAUGGUGGAGCGGUGAAAUGCGUUGAUAUCAGGAGGAACACCGGCGGCGAAGGCGAGGCUCUGGCUGAUUUCUGACGCUGAGACGCGAAAGCUAGGGGAGCAAACGGG
This 253-nucleotide ribosomal RNA is filed under the name uncultured bacterium. RNAcentral's name for it is "partial 16S ribosomal RNA". It matches the Rfam family "Bacterial small subunit ribosomal RNA", at positions 524 to 776 of the family's 1533-position model. The record is from RNAcentral.